RNAcentral lists this ribosomal RNA (252 nucleotides) under uncultured bacterium. Its description in RNAcentral is "partial 16S ribosomal RNA". It matches the Rfam family "Bacterial small subunit ribosomal RNA", at positions 524 to 776 of the family's 1533-position model. The record is from RNAcentral.
UACGGAGGAUGCGAGCGUUAUCCGGAUUUAUUGGGUUUAAAGGGUGCGUAGGCGGAUUUUUAAGUCAGCGGUAAAAUGUCCGGGCUCAGCCCGGGCCGGCCGUUGAAACUGGGGAUCUUGAGUGGGCGAGAAGUAUGCGGAAUGCGUGGUGUAGCGGUGAAAUGCAUAGAUAUCACGCAGAACUCCGAUUGCGAAGGCAGCAUACCGGCGCCCGACUGACGCUGAGGCACGAAAGCGUGGGGAUCGAACAGG